RNAcentral lists this ribosomal RNA (266 nucleotides) under uncultured bacterium. RNAcentral's name for it is "partial 16S ribosomal RNA". It matches the Rfam family "Bacterial small subunit ribosomal RNA", at positions 90 to 354 of the family's 1533-position model. The record is from RNAcentral.
UUUUAGCGGCGGACGGGUGAGUAACGUGUGGGUAACCUGCCUUUUACUGUGGAAUAAUCGUUGGAAACGACGACUAAUACCGCAUACGGUUCUUGGAAGGCAUCUUCUAAGAAAGAAAGGAGUAAUUCGGUAAAAGAUGGGCCCGCAUCUGAUUAGCUAGUUGGUGAGAUAAUAGCCCACCAAGGCAACGAUCAGUAGCCGACCUGAGAGGGUGACCGGCCACAUUGGGACUGAGACACGGCCCAAACUCCUACGGGAGGCAGCAG